Molecule: ribosomal RNA, 159 nt
Filed under: Brassica rapa subsp. chinensis
Lineage: Eukaryota; Viridiplantae; Streptophyta; Magnoliopsida; Brassicales; Brassicaceae
Description: partial 5.8S rRNA
Rfam family: 5.8S ribosomal RNA
About the family: 5.8S ribosomal RNA (5.8S rRNA) is a component of the large subunit of the eukaryotic ribosome.
Source: RNAcentral
CGACUCUCGGCAACGGAUAUCUCGGCUCUCGCAUCGAUGAGGAACGUAGCAAAUGCGAUACUUGGUGUGAAUUGCAGAAUCCCGUGAACCAUCGAGUCUUUGAACGCAAGUUGCGCCCCAAGCCUUCUGGCCGAGGGCACGUCUGCCUGGGUGUCACAA